UACAGAGGAUGCAAGCGUUGUCCGGAAUCAUUGGGCGUAAAGCGCGUGUAGGCGGCUCGAUAAGUCUGCUGUGAAAGUUCAGGGCUCAACCCUGAAAUGCCGGUGGAAACUGUCGAGCUAGAGUCCGGAAGAGGCGAGUGGAAUUCCUGGUGUAGCGGUGAAAUGCGCAGAUAUCAGGAGGAACACCAAUGGCGAAGGCAGCUCGCUGGGACGGUACUGACGCUGAGACGCGAAAGCGUGGGGAGCAAACAGG
This 253-nucleotide ribosomal RNA is filed under the name uncultured bacterium. RNAcentral's name for it is "partial 16S ribosomal RNA". It matches the Rfam family "Bacterial small subunit ribosomal RNA", at positions 524 to 776 of the family's 1533-position model. The record is from RNAcentral.